ACCUCCGGGACGGCUGGGCGCCGGCGGCCGGGAGCUCCGCGCUUCCUGAA
This 50-nucleotide microRNA precursor is filed under the name Gorilla gorilla gorilla (western lowland gorilla). RNAcentral describes it as "miRNA (ENSGGOG00000040963.1)". The record is from RNAcentral. Lineage: Eukaryota; Metazoa; Chordata; Mammalia; Primates; Hominidae.